GCUGAAGAACAGCUGUUCUGGCUCCUCCUGAGGUGGAGGUCCACUUUGUUUUUCGGUUGCUUUGUGGUGCUGGGGAUAGAGCCCAGGGCCUUAUGCAUGCGAGGCAAGUGUGGCCCCGGCACCCAGCACUGCUGGUGAAAAUCUGAAAUGAAGGUGCUGUUCUUGUGCCCGGGGCAUUCUGGAGCAGGUGGAGCAUAAGCCAGAGUCCCCGCAGAAGGGCUCUGCCUGAUGGACAAGUGGCUUAGGAGGUUCAUGCGUACGUUCACGCGCAUAUGUGGUCCGGUGCUCAGCAGCGGCAACUGUUCAGCUGUCGUUCCUAAGACUUCAUUUAUUUAUUUAUUUGUUUAUUUUGGGGACAGAUACUGGGGAUUGAACUCGGCGGGCACCUGACCACUUAGCCACAUCCCCAUCCCUAUUUUGUACUUUAUUUAGAGACAGUGUCUCACCUCCCCGCUGCUGAGGGUGUUUUGAACUCGAGAUCUUCCUGCCUCAGCCUCCUGAGCCACUGGGAUUAUAGGUGUGCACCACUGCAACCAUCCAAGAUUUUAUUUUAGAAAAUUUUGGUUUUAGUUAGGCACUGUAGUGAAUGCCUUUCAUCCCAGCAACUGGGGAGGCUGAGGCCGGAGGAUGGUAAGUUCGAGA
RNAcentral lists this long non-coding RNA (642 nucleotides) under Marmota monax (woodchuck). Lineage: Eukaryota; Metazoa; Chordata; Mammalia; Rodentia; Sciuridae. The record is from RNAcentral.